UAGAGAUGUGUGAUGACGCAUAUCAAUAAGCGGAGGAAAAGAAACUAACAAGGAUUCCCUUAGUAACGACGAGUGAAGCGGGAAGAGCUCAAAUUUGAAAUCUUCAAGGUUCUACCUUGACGAAUUGUAGUUUAUAAGAAGUGUUUUCUGUUAGUGGAGUGGCAAAAGUUCUUUGGAAUAGGACAUCAUAGAGGGUGAGAAUCCCGUAUUUGGUCAUUCCUCCUAGCGUUGUGAUACACUUUCAACGAGUCGGAUUGUUUGGGAAUGCAGUCCAAAAUGGGUGGUAAAUUUCAUCUAAAGCUAAAUAUUGGCGAGAGACCGAUAGCGAACAAGUACCGUGAGGGAAAGAUGAAAAGAACUUUGAAAAGAGAGUUAAACAGUACGUGAAAUUGUCAAAAGGGAAGCGUUUGACACCAGUGUUGUUUUUUCCGAAAAUCAAUUACGAAUGUUUUGUUUUUAAGAAGUUAUGACUUCAUCGGCUUGCUUCUUUCUUUACGAAACUUUCUUAAUGCACUUUUCGUUUAACAAGUCAACAUCAAUUUCUUUUGUUGUAAAAGGGUUAUUGGAAGGUGGCUUUCUCUUCGGAGAAAGUGUUUAUAGCCCUUAACCUCUGCAAUCGGAGAGAUUGAGGUCUGCAGCGUAGAUCCUUCGGGGUUAGAUACAUUUGUGCUAAGUUAUAGUCUUUUAUAGACAACUUGUUGACUAUGAUUGAUCUUGUAGCUUACUCGCUUAUGCUAUUUUACCUACGCUUAGGAUGUUGACAGCAGUAUAGACUGU
This 777-nucleotide ribosomal RNA is filed under the name uncultured Neocallimastigales. Its description in RNAcentral is "partial large subunit ribosomal RNA". It matches the Rfam family "Eukaryotic large subunit ribosomal RNA", at positions 23 to 615 of the family's 3401-position model. The record is from RNAcentral. Lineage: Eukaryota; Fungi; Neocallimastigomycota; Neocallimastigomycetes; Neocallimastigales.